This 490-nucleotide ribosomal RNA is filed under the name uncultured bacterium. RNAcentral's name for it is "partial 16S ribosomal RNA". It matches the Rfam family "Bacterial small subunit ribosomal RNA", at positions 30 to 507 of the family's 1533-position model. The record is from RNAcentral.
AUUGAACGCUGGCGGCAGGCCUAAUACAUGCAAGUCGAACGAAAACAGGAAGAAGCUUCCCUUUUUGCGGUCGAGUGGCAGACGGGUGAGUCAUGUCUGGAAAACAGCCUGAUGACGGGGAAUAACUACUGGAAACGGUACCUAAUACCGCAUAACGUUGCAAGACCAAAGAGCAGUAGCUUCAGGCGGCUUUCCAUUCACUGUGCCCAGAUGGGAUUAGCUAGUAGGUGGGGUAACGGCUCACCUAGGCGACGAUCCGUAGCUGGUCUGAGAGGAUGACCAGCCACACUGGAACUGAGACACGGUCCAGACUCCUACGGGAGGCAGCAGUGGGGAAUAUUGCACAAUGGGCGCAAGCCUGACGGAGCAAUGCCGCGUGUAUGAUGAAGGCCUUCGGGUUGUAAAGUACUUUUAGCAGGGAGGAAGGGAGUAGAAAGAAUCCAUUCACUAAUUGACGUUACCCGCAGAGGAAGCACCGGCUAACUCCGUG